Long non-coding RNA from Pecten maximus, 2015 nucleotides. RefSeq lists it as uncharacterized. NCBI's taxonomy places the organism in Eukaryota, Metazoa, Mollusca, Bivalvia, Pectinida, Pectinidae. The transcript is spliced from 4 exons. The record is from RefSeq and is a predicted model, not a curated record.
GGGUUUCGACAUCUUAUGCAAGCAGGUGUUUAUAUUAUAUUUUUAUCCUUACAUGUUAAUGAUACGUAUUUUGGUAUUUUCCGAAAAUGCUAUUUAUAAUUCACUUGGAAAUACCAAGAUUUUUUUUAUCUUUAUAUACUUGUAGUUGGUGCUUUUCUUCAUUUCAAGCUACAGGACUUGUUUCAUUGACGUACAUUUGAGAGCAACCUAACUGGCUUCAGUAUCAACAGUAUGUCUCUUAGUACACCCGGAUCACUGCUUGGUGUCGAAACAGCCGGUACACAGAUCGACAGGGUAAACAGAUGUCUGAGUGAAAGGAGACCAGGUGACAUGAUUAGGAUAGCGCGUAUAGGAUUUCUACACUACGCCAUUUACAUAGGAAAUAACAAGAUCGUCGAUUUCGUUGAUACUAAAGGUGGUGGUGAGGUCAGUACACGUGAUCUGUAUGACACUGUUGGUAGCAGUGCAUGUGCAGUCGACAAUUACUUGGAUAAGAAGCUAGGUCACUAUUCAGAAGACGAGAUUGUGCAGAGGGCAUGGAUGGAAACACUGCAAAAACAUACAUACAAGCUUGGAACAUACAACUGUGAACAUUUUGCAACAUGGUGUCGGUACGGGAUCAAAUACUGUCGCCAGCCGUGUUUAGUGGCUGCCAGCCUCGGAGUGAAUAGAUCAUAGAUUUAUUCUCGGACCUUUCACCACUGUGAAAAACUGCUCAGUUUGACUUAAUCUAUAAGUCGAUCAAGGAAUCUCAAGCGAUACGAAUCUGGUGAAAACCAAUAAGCAACAAAAGAAUUGUCUAAGCAUAAUGUCGUUCAGGAAAACACUACUUAAUAUCAGAGAUAGCAGUUGUGAGAAAAUGUUUGAAGUAACAGAAAAAUAUGUAUCUGAUAUUUAGUGAAAAUAUAUGUACAGCAAGAGUAAUCCUAGUAAAUAGAAAUGCAACUUCAUUCAAUUGAUCAGAUGUGUCAGUAGGUAGGGAUAUCGAUAGGUGACACUCAGUUUGGCUUUAAGAGAAAUAUGUCAACAGUUGAUGCUUUAUUUGCUUUUCAGACUUUAAUUAGUAAGACACUUAGAAACAAAAAGAAAUUCUAUUGCUGUUUUAUAGACUAUAAGAAGGCAUUUGAUUUUGUUAACAGACAGAAUUUAUUAUUUAAACUAAUUAAAGAAGGCGUGACUGGUAAAAUGUUGACUAUCAUAGGUCUUUGUACAAUGAUGUGAAAUAUUGUUUGCAACAUAAUAUCAUGACAGAGUUUUUCAAUUUCAAAAACAGAUUAUUUCAAGGGGAAAGUUUGUUAAACAGUCAAUACAGAUAAAACUUAGGUGUUAGUUUUUAGAAAUGGGGGGUGGGGAUUAAGGACAAGCAAUAAAUGGUUUUAUAAUGGCCAUGAACUGGAAGAUGUUGAUUACUUUAAUGACUUGGAUGUCUUGUUACAUUUCAACAGAAAACUCAGGAAAAAAAAAAACAAGAAAAAAUACUAUUAGCCGAACAAGGUAAAAAGGCACUUUCCGCUGCAAAUAUAAAUAUUUGCGGAAAACAUAGACCAAUUGUAGUCAGAUUUAUCAUCUUAUAAAAAAUCUAAGUACUAAUAUUAUAUAAUUGAUUGAUCAUAUUCCUUAUCUAAACCAUGUACACCAAAACUAGCAGACAUCUGAUGCCAAGGAAUCAUACCAUAAGUCUCUUCUAUGUUCUGUAUUGAUAAAAACCAAAAGGAUUUAGCAUUCCCAGAAAUGAUGCAAAAUUGUUUCCCUACUAUCAAAACAAAAUGUACAUCUCUCUGAUGCUACUAACGGCACAGCAUUAGUUUGGUAUUGGUAUAUAUAUAUAUAUAAUUCUAUGUAACAUUUUGAAUUGAAAGUUUUGUAAUUUUGUCUCGUCUGUAAUACUUCAUGGGAGUAAAGAGAAAUGUCUCCAUGUUUCCAGAGGUAUUUCACUUUGCAACAAUUUCUGCUAUUUCAAUUGCCUGGUUGCUGGCAAUCUUUUGAUUGAGUCAAUAAACAAAUUGUGAAAAUUC